Molecule: ribosomal RNA, 259 nt
Filed under: uncultured bacterium
Lineage: Bacteria
Description: partial 16S ribosomal RNA
Rfam family: Bacterial small subunit ribosomal RNA
Source: RNAcentral
GGCUCAGAACGAACGCUGGCGGCGUGCUUAACACAUGCAAGUCGAACGAACCUUCGGGUUAGUGGCGGACGGGUGAGUAACGCGUGAGAAUCUGCCCUCAGGAGGGGGAUAACGGUUGGAAACGACCGCUAAUACCCCAUAUGCCGAGAGGUGAAAAGAAAUUCGCCUGAGGAUGAGCUCGCGUCUGAUUAGCUAGUUUUUGCGGUAAUGGCGCAGCAAAGCUUCGAUCAGUAGCUGGUCUGAGAGGAUGAUCAGCCAC